This 777-nucleotide ribosomal RNA is filed under the name uncultured Neocallimastigales. RNAcentral's name for it is "partial large subunit ribosomal RNA". It matches the Rfam family "Eukaryotic large subunit ribosomal RNA", at positions 22 to 615 of the family's 3401-position model. The record is from RNAcentral. Lineage: Eukaryota; Fungi; Neocallimastigomycota; Neocallimastigomycetes; Neocallimastigales.
AUAUCAGUCAUGCAUAGCAUAUCAAUAAGCGGAGGAAAAGAAACUAACAAGGAUUCCCUUAGUAACGGCGAGUGAAGCGGGAAGAGCUCAAAUUUGAAAUCUUCAAGGUUUUACCUUGACGAAUUGUAGCUUUAAAGAAGUGUUUUCUGUUGAAGUUUUGGUAAAAGUUCUUUGGAAUAGGACAUCAUAGAGGGUGAGAAUCCCGUAUUUGACCAUUACUUUCAGCUUUGUGAUACACUUUCAAAGAGUCGGAUUGUUUGGGAAUGCAGUCCAAAAUGGGUGGUAAAUUUCAUCUAAAGCUAAAUAUUGGCGAGAGACCGAUAGCGAACAAGUACCGUGAGGGAAAGAUGAAAAGAACUUUGAAAAGAGAGUUUAAACAGUACGUGAAAUUGUCAAAAGGGAAGCGUUUGACACCAGUGUUGUUUUCUCGAAAAUCAAUUAAAAAGAGUUGGAUUUUGUGUUGUAUUGACUUUAUCAGCUUUCUUCACUCUUUUCCAGCUUUUUUUAAUGCACUUUUCGUUUAACAAGUCAACAUCAGUUUCUUUUGUUGUAAAAAGGUCAUUGGAAGGUGGCUUUCUCUUCGGAGAAAGUGUUUAUAGCCUUUGACUCAUGCAAUCGGAGAGACUGAAGGUCUGCAGCGUAGAUCCUUCGGGGUUAGAUACAUUUGUGCUAAGUUAUAGCUUUUUCAUAGACAACUUGUUGACUAUGUUUAGUCUUGUAGCUUACUCGCUUAUGCUAUUUUACCUACGCUUAGGAUGUUAAACUCUAUCACACACA